GAGUAAAGAUUUCGGUCGCUUUGGGAGGAGCUCGCUUACUAUCAGCUUGUUGGUAGGGUAAUGGCCUACCAAGGCUAUGACGGUUAGGGGGUGUGAGAGCAUGACCCCCAGCAUUGGCACUGAAACACUGGCCAAACACCUACGGGUGGCUGCAGUCGAGAAUCUUCCACAAUGGGGGAAACCCUGAUGGAGCGAUGCUGCGUGCGGGAUGAAGGCCUUCGGGUUGUAAACCGCUUUUGUAGGGGACGAAAUUUUUGACGGUACCCUUUCGAAUAAGAGGUUGCUAACUCUGUGCCAGCAGCAGCGGUAAUACAGAGACCUCAAGCGUUAUCCGGAUUUACUGGGCGUAAAGCGUCUGUAGGGGGUUUAUUAAGUUCCAAGUAAAAUUUCAAGGCUCAACUUUGAAUUCGCUUGGAAAACUAAUAAACUGGAGUCUAGCAGAGGUGCAUGGGACUUGUGGUGUAGGAGUGAAAUCCGUUGAUAUCACAAGGAACACCAAAGGCGAAGGCAUUGCACUGGGCUAGCACUGACCCUGAGAGACGAAAGCGUGGGGAGCAAAACGGAUUAGAUACCCGUGUAGUCCACGCCCUAAACGAUGAAUGCUAAAUGUUCGGGGAUUCGACCCCCUGGGUGUUACAGCUAACGCGUUAAGCAUUCCGCCUGGGAAGUACGGCCGCAAGGCUAAAACUCAAAGGAAUAGACGGGGAUCCGCACAAGCGGUGGAGCGUCUGGUUUAAUUCGACAGUAAGCGUGGUACCUCACCAGGGUUUGACAUCCCUUGACAGCCUUGGAAACAAGGUUUCCUUCGGGCAAGGUGACAGGUGCUGCAUGGUCGUCGUCAGUUCGUGCCGUGAGGUGUU
Molecule: ribosomal RNA, 860 nt
Filed under: uncultured organism
Description: bacterial SSU rRNA
Rfam family: Bacterial small subunit ribosomal RNA
Source: RNAcentral